UUAAAAAAAAAAAACCAAAAAACAUUACUUUCCAGUUUAGAAGAAUCAUUUCCAAGUCAGAAGAGCCUUAAAUGGGAUUAAGUGGCUUGCCCAGGGCACACAACUAAGAACUGUCAGAAGAUCUAUUUGAACCAGGACCUCCCUUCUCCAGGCCUGACUCUCCAUCCACUGAGCCAUCUAGUAGUCCCAAGUUAACUCACUUCUAUUAGAACGUUAAGGAAAAGGUCAUCAUCUUUUUUUCUGGUGCCUGAAUUCUUCUGCGAUCCUCAGCUUUCAGUUCUCCACCAGGAUCUUGUUUUCCUCUAACCAUACCACAAGGCUCUCUUUCCCACAAGGCUCAGGACCUUCCUUCUCAAACAGCAGUUCCUUUUGGAGUGAGAAUACUUUCUUUUCUGGUUUGGUGAUCUAUAUAAAUGGAUGUCAUAUAAAUGGAUGAUGGGGCUCACGCGUGAUCGGCGGUGUCAUUUCAAUUUUGAAACACGUGAUCAGCAGGAUUCCAAAUAUACCACAACUUACCAAAAUUCUUUCUCAAAAGGAAGAAAAAGAAACCCCACAUCAAUGAGGAGCAAAUCUACAGCAAGUC
Molecule: non-coding RNA, 583 nt
Organism: Monodelphis domestica (gray short-tailed opossum)
Lineage: Eukaryota; Metazoa; Chordata; Mammalia; Didelphimorphia; Didelphidae
Source: RefSeq, a predicted model, not a curated record